UAUACAGCGAAACUGCGAAUGGCUCAUUAUAUAAGUUAUCGUUUAUUUGAUAGUACCUUACUACAUGGAUAACCGUGGUAAUUCUAGAGCUAAUACAUGCUAAAAAUCCCGACUUCGGAAGGGAUGUAUUUAUUAGAUUAAAAACCAAUGCCCUCUGGGCUCCUUGGUGAUUCAUGAUAACUUCUCGAAUCGCAUGGCCUUGUGCCGGCGAUGGUUCAUUCAAAUUUCUUCCCUAUCAACUUUCGAUGUUUGGGUAUUGGCCAAACAUGGUCGCAACGGGUAACGGAGGGUUAGGGCUCGACCCCGGAGAAGGAGCCUGAGAAACGGCUACUACAUCCAAGGAAGGCAGCAGGCGCGCAAAUUACCCAAUCCCGACACGGGGAGGUAGUGACAAUAAAUACUGAUACAGGGCUCUUUCGGGUCUUGUAAUUGGAAUGAGUACAAUUUAAAUCCCUUAACGAGGAACAAUUGGAGGGCAAGUCUGGUGCCAGCAGCCGCGGUAAUUCCAGCUCCAAUAGCGUAUAUUAAAGUUGUUGUGGUUAAAAAGCUCGUAGUUGAACCUUGGGCCUGGCUGUCCGGUCCGCCUCACCGCGUGUACUGGUUCGGCCGGGCCUUUCCCUCUGUGGAACCUCAUGCCCUUCACUGGGCGUGACGGGGAAACAGGACUUUUACUGUGAAAAAAUUAGAGUGCUCCAGGCAGGCCUAUGCUCGAAUACAUUAGCAUGGAAUAAUGAAAUAGGACGUGCGGUUCUAUUUUGUUGGUUUCUAGGACCGCCGUAAUGAUUAAUAGGGACAGUCGGGGGCAUCAGUAUUCAAUUGUCAGAGGUGAAAUUCUUGGAUUUAUUGAAGACUAACUACUGCGAAAGCAUUUGCCAAGGAUGUUUUCAUUAAUCAGGAACGAAAGUUAGGGGAUCGAAGACGAUCAGAUACCGUCGUAGUCUUAACCAUAAACUAUGCCGACUAGGGAUCGGACGAUGUAAAUAAUUGACUCGUUCGGCACCUUACGAGAAAUCAAA
This 1016-nucleotide ribosomal RNA is filed under the name Simplicillium lamellicola. RNAcentral describes it as "SSU rRNA". It matches the Rfam family "Eukaryotic small subunit ribosomal RNA", at positions 75 to 1102 of the family's 1831-position model. Lineage: Eukaryota; Fungi; Ascomycota; Sordariomycetes; Hypocreales; Cordycipitaceae. The record is from RNAcentral.